This 999-nucleotide ribosomal RNA is filed under the name Triticum aestivum (bread wheat). RNAcentral's name for it is "partial small subunit ribosomal RNA". Lineage: Eukaryota; Viridiplantae; Streptophyta; Magnoliopsida; Poales; Poaceae. The record is from RNAcentral.
AUGGCGACGUCGCGGGCGGACGUGGAGAAGGGCGGGUCGUCGCCGAGGAAGGCGAAGCAGGAGCCGGGCAAGGUGCCGUCGCCGCUGUACCCGCAGCACGAGGGGGAGCGGGAGUGGACGCCCUGGCUGGUGCCCUCCAUCCUGGUCGCCAACAUCACCGUCUUCACCAUCGCCAUGUACUACAACAACUGCCCCGCCCACAACGCCAAGCCGGGGCGCGACGGCCAGUGCGUCGCCCGCUUCCUCCACCGCUUCUCCUUCCAGCCCCUCCGCCAGAACCCGCUGCUCGGCCCAUCCUCCGCAACGCUGGUGAAGAUGGGCGCGCUGGUGUGGGACAAGGUGGUGCACGGGCACCAGGGGUGGCGCCUCUUCUCCUGCAUGUGGAUGCACGCCGGCGUCCUCCACCUCGUCGCCAACAUGCUCAGCCUCCUCUUCAUCGGCCUCCGCCUUGAGCAGCAGUUCGGAUACGUGAGGAUCGGCGGCAUAUACCUCAUCUCCGGCGUGGGCGGGAGCGUGCUGUCGUCGCUCUUCAUCCGGAGCGCCAUCUCGGUGGGGGCCUCCGGGGCGCUCUUCGGGCUGCUGGGGGCGAUGCUGGCGGAGCUGCUGUCCAACUGGACCAUCUACAGCAACAAGGUGGCGGCGGUGACCACGCUGCUCUUCGUCAUCGCCGUCAACCUGGUGCUGGGCAUCCUGCCGCACGUCAACAACUUCGCGCACAUCGGGGGGUUCCUCACCGGGUUCCUCCUCGGGUUCGUGCUGCUCAUGCGCCCCCACUUCGGGUGGAUGGAGCGCUACCGCCUCCCCGCCGGCAGCCCCUGCACCGCCAGGAAGUACCUCCCCUACCAGUGGGCGCUCAUGGCCGUCGCCCUCGCCCUCGCCGUCGCAGGAUUCGCGAUCGGGCUGGCCAUGGUGUUCCGCGGCGCCAACGCCAACAGCAGCUGCGGCUGGUGCCACUACCUCAGCUGCGUCCCCACCGCGAGCUGGUCAUGCGCCAACUGA